RNAcentral lists this ribosomal RNA (254 nucleotides) under uncultured bacterium. RNAcentral describes it as "partial 16S ribosomal RNA". It matches the Rfam family "Bacterial small subunit ribosomal RNA", at positions 524 to 776 of the family's 1533-position model. The record is from RNAcentral.
UACGAAGGGGGCUAGCGUUGCUCGGAAUCACUGGGCGUAAAGCGCACGUAGGCGGGUUGCCAAGUCGGGGGUGAAAUCCUGGAGCUCAACUCCAGAACUGCCUUCGAUACUGGCGACCUUGGAGUCCGGGAGAGGUGAGUGGAACUGCGAGUGUAGAGGUGAAAUUCGUAGAUAUUCGCAGGAACACCAGUGGCGAAGGCGGCUCACUGGCCCGGUACUGACGCUGAGGUGCGAAGGCGUGGGGAGCGAACGGG